GACGAACGCUGGCGGCGUGCUUAACACAUGCAAGUCGAACGCUGAAGCUCAGCUUUUGUUGGGUGGAUGAGUGGCGAACGGGUGAGUAACACGUGAGUAACCUGCCCCCUUCUUUGGGAUAACGCCCGGAAACGGGUGCUAAUACUGGAUAUUCACUGGUCUUCGCAUGGGGGUUGGUGGAAAGGGUUUUUCUGGUGGGGGAUGGGCUCGCGGCCUAUCAGCUUGUUGGUGGGGUGAUGGCCUACCAGGGCUUUGACGGGUAGCCGGCCGGGGAGGGUGACUGGUCAGAUUGGGGGUGAGAUUCGGCCCAGACUCCGACGGGAGGCAGCAGGGGGGAAAAUUGCGCAAUGGGCGCAAGCCUGAUGCAGCGACGCCGCGUGAGGGGUGGCGUCCUGCGGGUUGUGAACCUCUUUCGCUCAUGGUCUAGCCGCAACAGUGGUUGUGGUGAGGGUAGUGGGUAAAGAAGCGCCGGCUAACUACGUG
This 483-nucleotide ribosomal RNA is filed under the name uncultured bacterium. Its description in RNAcentral is "partial 16S ribosomal RNA". It matches the Rfam family "Bacterial small subunit ribosomal RNA", at positions 28 to 507 of the family's 1533-position model. The record is from RNAcentral.